UACGUAGGUGGCAAGCGUUGUCCGGAAUUAUUGGGCGUAAAGCGCGCGCAGGUGGUUUCUUAAGUCUGAUGUGAAAGCCCCCGGCUUAACCGGGGAGGGUCAUUGGAAACUGGGAGACUUGAGUGCAGAAGAGGAGAGCGGAAUUCCAUGUGUAGCGGUGAAAUGCGUAGAGAUAUGGAGGAACACCAGUGGCGAAGGCGGCUCUCUGGUCUGCAACUGACGCUGAGGCACGAAAGCGUGGGGAGCAAACAGG
This 253-nucleotide ribosomal RNA is filed under the name uncultured bacterium. RNAcentral describes it as "partial 16S ribosomal RNA". It matches the Rfam family "Bacterial small subunit ribosomal RNA", at positions 524 to 776 of the family's 1533-position model. The record is from RNAcentral.